RNAcentral lists this ribosomal RNA (598 nucleotides) under uncultured bacterium. RNAcentral describes it as "bacterial SSU rRNA". It matches the Rfam family "Bacterial small subunit ribosomal RNA", at positions 59 to 633 of the family's 1533-position model. The record is from RNAcentral.
AAGUCGAACGAGAAAGUCACUUCGGGUGGCGAGUACAGUGGCGCACGGGUGAGUAACGCGUGGAUAAUCUGCCUUUCGGCCUGGGACAACUCCGGGAAACUGGAGCUAAUACCGGAUAAGACCACGUCGUCUCCGGACGAAGUGGUAAAAGGUGGCCUCUCGUAGAAGCCAUCACCGAUUGAUGAGUCCGCGUACCAUUAGCUUGUUGGUGAGGUAAAAGCUCACCAAGGCUCCGAUGGUUAGCUGAUCUGAGAGGAUGAUCAGCCACACUGGAACUGAGACACGGUCCAGACUCCUACGGGAGGCAGCAGUCGGGAAUUUUGGGCAAUGGGGGCAACCCUGACCCAGCAACUCCGCGUGAGGGAUGAAGGCCCUCGGGUCGUAAACCCCUGUCGGGAGGGAAGAAAGGGCCGGUGGUCAAUAUCCAUCGGUCUUGACGGUACCUCCAAAGGAAGCACCGGCUAACUCCGUGCCAGCAGCCGCGGUAAUACGGAGGGUGCAAGCGUCGUUCGGAAUCAUUGGGCGUAAAGCGGGUGUAGGCGGCUUGGUAAGUCGGGUGUGAAAUCCCUGCGCCCAACCCAGGAACUGCACUCGAAAC